RNAcentral lists this ribosomal RNA (253 nucleotides) under uncultured bacterium. RNAcentral's name for it is "partial 16S ribosomal RNA". It matches the Rfam family "Bacterial small subunit ribosomal RNA", at positions 524 to 776 of the family's 1533-position model. The record is from RNAcentral.
GACGAACUGCCCAAACGUUGUUCGGAAUCAUUGGGCGUAAAGGGCGCGUAGGUGGUUCUGUAUGUCUGCCGUGAAAGGGUACAGCUUAACUGUAGCUUGUCGGUAGAAACUGCAGGACUUGAGGCUGGGAGGGGCUGGUGGAAUUCCCUGUGUAGCGGUGAAAUGCGUAGAGAUGGGGGAGAACACUCGUGGCGAAGGCGGCCAGCUAGACCAGUUCUGACACUGAGGCGCGACAGCGUGGGGAGCAAACAGG